This 148-nucleotide non-coding RNA is filed under the name Homo sapiens (human). The record is from Rfam by way of RNAcentral. Lineage: Eukaryota; Metazoa; Chordata; Mammalia; Primates; Hominidae.
GCCGGGCGUGGUGGCGCGCUCCUGUAAUCCCAGCUACUCGGGAGGCUGAGGUAGGAGAAUUGCUUGAACCCAGGAGGCAAAGGUUGCAGUGAGCCGAGAUUGCACCACUGCACUCCAGCCUGGGCAACAGAGCAGGACCCUAUCUUAA